This 198-nucleotide ribosomal RNA is filed under the name uncultured bacterium. RNAcentral describes it as "partial 16S ribosomal RNA". It matches the Rfam family "Bacterial small subunit ribosomal RNA", at positions 1302 to 1500 of the family's 1533-position model. The record is from RNAcentral.
AGGCUGCAACCCGCCUGCAUGAAGUCGGAAUUGCUAGUAAUCGCGGAUCAGCAUGCCGCGGUGAAUACGUUCCCGGGCCUUGUACACACCGCCCGUCACACCAUGGGAGCCGGUAAUACCCGAAGUCAGUAGUCCAACCACGUGAGGACGCUGCCGAAGGUAGGAUUGGCGACUGGGGUGAAGUCGUAACAAGGUACC